This 222-nucleotide unclassified non-coding RNA is filed under the name Hevea brasiliensis (rubber tree). The record is from RNAcentral. Lineage: Eukaryota; Viridiplantae; Streptophyta; Magnoliopsida; Malpighiales; Euphorbiaceae.
GGGCUGGCCUGUUGACAUUUUUUACUCAAACGUGGUGGAGCUUAUGGCUAUUUGUAAAGCCCUUAAGUUAUUAGUCUCUUUUCUAGCUUAUUACUUAAAUGUAGAAGGUAUCACCGUUGAAUCUGGCUCUAUCAACACAAUUUCCUAGGUUUCUCAUCCUGACAUAACCCCUUGGAGGGUUAAUGCAGUUAUCAAUUCUAUUUGUAAUUAUCUUCAAGCUCU